GCUCAAGGAUCAUCAUGAGCUCAUCCAGGCACCAUGUUGAAGAUGCGUAGUUCUUAGAUAAAACAAUUAUUGAAGCACGAGAGCCUUUUAUAGCUCUUUCAAGCUCGGGUUUAAGUUUUUCACCGGUUUCAACCUCUUCCUCAUCAAGAAAGGUAGAGAUGUUUUCAUUCACCAAAGCUUGGUAGAGGUGAUCCGUAAAACCUAGACGAGUGUCUUUCCCUCUGAAACUCAGGAAAACAUCAUAUGUUAUUGGGGCUUCUUGUUCUUCUGAUAAUUCAGUGAGGAUGGCCAUGAAAGUUGUGAAUUACAAGACUGUAUAUGAUCAGUGUAGGAAACACAAAGAUCUUUAUUUGUGGAUGUUCAAAUGCCUGAAUGCCCUACCCAACAUCUGUUUGGUGAUUAUGAAAUAUGGGAGCAUUGUGAUGGCGGGAGAGAGAAAACAAAUGAAAAUCUUCCAGAGAAAACAAAUGUAAUCCGCCCUACAAGAACACUAGGCUUUACAGGAGGAGAGCAUUGAGUAAUAUCAACAAGAACAUCAUCAGAGCUCCACCAGCAUAUCCUUAUGCUGCUAAUGGUUUACCAGGGGUAAAAAGCCAAAAUUCCAAAUUAUCUCUUAUGAGAUUGAGACUGAAAACUUGAGCAUCAUUGAUGCUGAAGAUGAUUUGAAUGCACCAAUGUUUGUUCAACAUACAGAAGCUAUGCUGGAUGACAUAGAGACGAUGAUGUAUACGAGGAGCCGCUUUUGGACAUUGACAAUGCUGAUUGAGUACAUUGAUAAAAUUUUUGCCCACUACUAAAUGCAAGAGGUACUAACAUGUUAUUCACCAACAUACAUGUCACAACAACAUGACAUAACAGACAGGAUGAGAGGUAUUAUCGUCGAUUGGCUAGUUGAGACAGGAUGAGGGGAUUGUUGGUUUUCAAUUUUCAAAGUCCCGAUGUGAAGUUUGAAAGAGCUAGAACACUAGAUGCUUUGAAGUAAGUUCUUUUGGGGAGAAUAACCCAAUGAAUCUCAUGUGGCUUGGGUUAAAUGGAAUAGAAUCAUGGCAGAUAAAGGCAAGGGGGCAGGACUAGGUAUUGUAAAUGGAUUUGGAGAUUCAAGAACAAAAAAGAUAGCUUUGGGCUAAAGCAGUGAAAAACAUACAUUGUGAUGAUGGUUUACUCUCCUUGGAUUUGGUUAGAAAGCUCACGGUGCUCUUGGAAAAAUAUAGUUGAUGUUGUCUUUCAGCUCAGCUCGAAUAAUAUAGAUGCAUUUGGAUUGAUGACAAGAAAUUUGUGAAAUGGAGCUGAUAAAAAUUCUGGAAUGAUCAGUGUUGUAAUUGUAAUGGGCCUCUAAAAUCAUCUUUCAUAGACUAUUUGCUUUUGACGUGCAGAAAAAAGAGAAUGUAGCAGAGUACUUCAUUGGAUCUGGGGGGGUCUUCAAUCUAUGCCAUACACUGUGGUUUGAGAGAUGUGGAGUUUAUGUAAUAACAUCAUAUUUAAGCAUUAUAUAAGGUUAAACAACCAACAAACCUGGACAAUUGUGAUGAAUACAAGUUUCCAGU
Long non-coding RNA from Lactuca sativa (garden lettuce), 1544 nucleotides. RefSeq lists it as uncharacterized. The record is from RefSeq and is a predicted model, not a curated record. NCBI's taxonomy places the organism in Eukaryota, Viridiplantae, Streptophyta, Magnoliopsida, Asterales, Asteraceae.